Penaeus vannamei (Pacific white shrimp) is the source of this 321-nucleotide non-coding RNA. The record is from RefSeq and is a predicted model, not a curated record. Lineage: Eukaryota; Metazoa; Arthropoda; Malacostraca; Decapoda; Penaeidae.
CCCCCGCGCCGGCAGUCCGUACCACAACCCACUCCCAGACAUAGGGAGGACGGCCGUGUGGGAGACGGAAGAGGAGACAGAGGAGGACCGCGAUGAAGGAGGCAAAGAAGAAGAUGAAAAUCCCCUUCACAGCGUGGACUCCCCGCCUCCGCCCACCUACGAGGAGACGCAGCAGGUGUCGCGCUGGGUCGAGGAAAUCAACGCCCAGAACCUGCUCUUCUCAAGGGACGGAGGGAGCGACGUAGCUGACGCCUCGAGGCAGUCAGCUCCGACGUCGGGGAAACGCAGGACGCCAACUCUGAACCAGAAGGCAUCGAAACA